Molecule: transfer RNA, 74 nt
Filed under: Mesobacillus maritimus
Lineage: Bacteria; Bacillati; Bacillota; Bacilli; Caryophanales; Bacillaceae
Description: tRNA-Gly
Rfam family: tRNA
About the family: Transfer RNA (tRNA) molecules are approximately 80 nucleotides in length. Their secondary structure includes four short double-helical elements and three loops (D, anti-codon, and T loops).
Source: RNAcentral
GCGGGUGUAGUUUAGUGGUAAAACCUCAGCCUUCCAAGCUGAUGAUGAGGGUUCGAUUCCCUUCACUCGCUCCA